This 1633-nucleotide unclassified non-coding RNA is filed under the name Hevea brasiliensis (rubber tree). Lineage: Eukaryota; Viridiplantae; Streptophyta; Magnoliopsida; Malpighiales; Euphorbiaceae. The record is from RNAcentral.
UUUAUUUAUUUAUUAAAUUUUAACUGAAAUUUAAAUUUAAGACUUUAUUAGCUUUAAAAAUUACUGUAACAGCAUAGGGUCAAAAUGAACAUAUUAAUUACAAUUUAUAAUAUUUUAUUUUUUAAUCAAAAGCCCUUUAGACGGUUGGUCACGGAGAGCAAAACCUGCGAUCAAAUUUGCCGCACAAUUGGGCUUAUCGACAUGAGGAAGAUGACCAGAGUCUGCUACUUGUCGCAUAAUUGCAUUUGGUAGUUCACAAUGUAGCUUCACUGCGAGCUUGUAGUUGACAAUCUGAUCAUUUUCACCACAGAUGAUAAGUGUUCUCUGUUUUACCUGUUUUAUUAGGGAACCAACAUUAUAUCCUCCACUAGACAUAAAACUAACAGUUGCAUCCUUCCACCAUGGCAGCAUACAGUGUAAUCGGCCAACAUUAGUCCAAUCUAAAAUUGUAUGGAAUGAAGUGCCAUUGAAGGCCAAUGCAUUUGCAUAAAGGCGAAGCGGAAUGCUCUUCAACAAAGAAACCCCUGCAUAGGCUAUUACUGGUGGUAACUUUGCUAGGCGUCUUGUGCCUUCAGCAUACGCAUUUGGAUUGAUGAGAAUCAGCUUUUCAACAGCUUCCGGAUAAUUGACCGUAAAAUCCAUUGCAACAGAAGCGCCAAGGCUUGGUCCAACUAAUAUCAUUGGUCUUUUGAUGUAGGACUUCCACAGCUGAUAGAGGUGAUAACGCUUAGAUGCUACAUCACAUGGUGGACGCAUUUCUAUUAAAAGCAACAAUAGUCAUCAUAUUUAAGCAGAUAUUGCUUAGAGGGACAAGAAGUAAAGAAAUUAGGGAUAAGUGAAAAAUUAGUAUAGCAUAAAGGGAUUUGAGGUUUAUGUGUUUAUAACCUAAAUCAGAAAAGCCCCAUCCAAGAACAUCAACAGCCCAAGCCUCCAAACCAGCUUCCUCAAGCAAAGGGUAUGAGCAUCUCCACUCUAAACAGGAGCUGUCAAAGCAAUGAAGCAGGACCACUGGACUCUGUUUGCUUUGUAUUACUGGUUUAAUACAACUACUCAUAAUACAUUUCUCUGGAAAACCCAUCUGGACAGGGAGCCUCUGUAUUCUCUUAGCCAAAGAUCUAGCAAAAGGGUCUUUGAUUUUCUCUACCUCUUUUGGAAGGAAUGAAGGAAACUCACCACCGCUACCAACCACCGACGCCUUAUGACGAUCACUGCCGCCCUUUGCAUUCAUUUUCACUUCCAUUACUACUCCCACACUUGUCGGUAGAGAGCCCAAGUUAAGAGGCAUCAUCAUUUAUGCUCCUCAAAAACAAGAAGAAGAAGAAGAAGAAAUUAGCCAGAAAGAAAACCUGCCGUCAAUGUAGAAGAAGAAGAGUGAACUGGUGGCUACUAGCUAGGCCAAGCUACCGACUCCAACUUAAAAAAUAGCAAUUCCGUUUAAAACAUGUUAAAAAUAGCUGCAACAGCGCAAAGACGGUCACCGUUUCACGCAAGAAGUCCACGCUUUAUCUUCCUUUCCGGAACAAACAACUAAAAGGACAAUAAUUUUCCCUUAAGACAUUUUCACUCUAAAUUGUAGAGAAAGUACGAAAUAAUUGCAUGAGAAGUAUUCUUUUACUUUGAAAUUACAUAUAUA